GAAACGCCGACGAAAAAAGGGUCGUUACGGAGAAAUCAAACUCCUGAUAAACCUGAGUCGGAGAAGUUGUCGGAACGACGGAGAUGGUAAAUGAGAAGAAGAUGAAUGGAGCUUCGAACAUGGGGUGGAGGAGGGUUUAGGGCACUAUGUGUACAGUGGGGAGAAGAAUCACGUUUUAGCUGGGAUCGGGAUCUUCACCGUCAUCUUCGGCAUCCCUUGGUACCUUAUGAAUCAAGGAUCUAAUCAUCGGUCUCACCAAGAUUACAUGGAGAAGGCUGAUAAAGCGUCUCUCUUCAUCUUCAUCCUCUGACAAGUAGUCCAUAGGAACUUAACUCCGUAAUGUAAUGUCUGAGCCAGUUUGGUUUUUGUUCAGAUACGUACUCAUAAGUUUCUGUAUCAAAAUAAAUUGAAGAUUUCUCAUC
This is a long non-coding RNA of Brassica napus (rape), 422 nucleotides long. RefSeq lists it as uncharacterized. The record is from RefSeq and is a predicted model, not a curated record. The transcript has 2 exons. Lineage: Eukaryota; Viridiplantae; Streptophyta; Magnoliopsida; Brassicales; Brassicaceae.